This 395-nucleotide ribosomal RNA is filed under the name uncultured bacterium. RNAcentral describes it as "bacterial SSU rRNA". It matches the Rfam family "Bacterial small subunit ribosomal RNA", at positions 93 to 484 of the family's 1533-position model. The record is from RNAcentral.
GAGUGGCGACCGGGUGAGUAAUGUAUCGGAACGUCCCUUUCAGUGGGGGAUAACGUAGCGAAAGUUACGCUUAAUCCCGCAUAUUCUGUGAGCAGGAAAGCAGGGGAUCGCAAGACCUUGCGCUGAUUGAGCGGCCGAUAUCAGAUUAGCUAGUUGGUGAGGUAAAGGCUCACCAAGGCGACGAUCUGUAGCGGGUCUGAGAGGAUGUUCCGCCACACUGGAACUGGGCCCCGGUCCAGACUCCUACGGGAGGCAGCAGUGGGGAAUUUUGGACAAUGGGGGCAACCCUGAUCCAGCCAUGCCGCGUGAGUGAAGAAGGCCUUCGGGUUGUAAAGCUCUUUCGUCCGGGAAGAAAUCGCAUCAGCUAAUACCUGGCGGGAUGACGGUUCCGCCUC